UGUUGGCACACUAGGUGUGAGAAAAAGACCGAGAGUGGGCAGACUAUAGAAAGUAAGUAGGAAAGUGAAAGAAGAUAGUGGGUGCUGGGCAGCGAGAGGUGGAAGAGAGAGCAAGUAAUAUGUUGAGUGGAGGGUGCCAUGAAGGGAAUCAAAUAGCCAAGAGUUCUACAUGAAUGAUAUUUUCUUUUGCAGAGAAAUGAAAAGGAGGUAGUUUAUAGGUGCAGAGGGAGUGAGAGAGCAAAUGAACAGAUGAAAGUGGUUGUUGUUCUUCAAAGAAAAAUUUAAGCACAGAUGAAAGUGGUUGUUGUUCUUCAAAGAAAAAUUUAAGCUUUAAUUCGGAGAAGCUAUGGAGGAGAUCAGGAGAAGGGAUGUUGGGAUAUGGUGGGGAAUUGAAACAUGGUGCUUCUCCCAUGAUUGUGUUGAAUUGAAAGCUGAACUAAGAAGAAAGGUUCGGAGAUGCUGCAACCCGUGGGUGCAUGGAGAGAAUCAGAGAGCUGGUAGUAGCAGAAGGAAAAACCGAAGAAGGAUUGAGAGAUGCUGCUUUUGGUUUUGGGCCCGUGGGUGCAUGGAGAAAAAUUCUCCACACACCCAGGGAAGGUUUUGGAGAUCAAAGGAUCAAGAGCGGUUAAGCAGUAGCUCUGAUACCAUGAAAGGAAAUGGAAUUGCUUUGUUUGAUUGUGGUGAUUGAUUACAAAAGAGAACACAUAUUUAAACUACAAGCAUGGAGAAGACAAGAAAAUAAAAUGUGGCAGACAAGCCUCAUAAACAUGCCGAAUACAAGGUGUGGCAGACAAUAGUUCUUGGCACAUAGCACAAGGAGCAUGCUUGCUUCAGUCUGUUCUAUUACAUACACAGUCCAGCAAUACUAUCAUUCUCCUAAUUAAUGUUGGAUGUCACCUGUUAUACAUAUUUCAUUUUAUUAUUUGGUUUGCCUUCAUUUUCUUUUAAGCUUACAAAAUAAGGCUCUUAGCCAUUGAUGUAAUUUCUUUUGAUGUUGAUACAUUACUGUGUUAAGGGUAAAACUGUAAUGUUCCAACUCAAGUUAGAUAUAUGUGCUAUGGUAUAAUUACCUGUACUUGACAAUCGAUCGAUACAAUUCGUUUUCCAGCUUCGUCUCUAUUCUUCUGCUUUUCUCAGUUUUUCACACAACUCUUUCAUGGUAUCAAGAGCUCAGGUCGUUUUGUGACCUAGGUUUUGUUCGUCAAGGCCCUCUUACUUAGCCUCGUGUUCGAUUUAGUGUUCUCAAUAUUCGAUUCGGAUUUUUUUCUAUCUACAAAGAUUCAGAUAAGUACCGUAUUACUGAAGAAGAAGAUUGUUUCUACAUGUUCUUGAAGAUUGUUGAAAAAUUACAGAAAUUGAUUAAUUUCGAAGCCUUGAUUUCGUAGAUGCUGUGUUCGAGUAUGAUUUGAUGCAAGAAAUAGUUGUUGAUUCUUGAAAUUCUGUCAAGAUUGUGAUAUUCCUGAGAUUUCAAAACUCUAAUUCUUCAAGUUCUAUGUAAUUUGAUUGUUCUUGAUCGGCGUUCUAUGUAAUGUGAUUAUUCUUCAUUGAUCCAACGUCGUUUCGCUGUCAAUUGACUCAAGCUGAUCGAUUCAGCAACCCUACUGCUUCUGAAUGCCUGGAAUGUUCCUCGUCUUACUUGCUUGAUUGUGUCUGAAUAGCCUUUAAUUGGUUCGUUUUGGUAUAUUGUAUUUUGCACGAAGAAUUGGUAGACGUCAGAGAAGAUUGUACAUGAAUUGAAGUUUUGUGCCAUAGCCUUUUCUACACUUGGUUUGGUUCUCGAAUUUCUCUCAACUCAGAGGAUGAGGAGAUAGUAGUUUUUCCCUUGUGCUUGAUUUGUUUGAAUUUGCUUCCACAAUACUUGUCAUUGAGCAAACUCGGGUUGUAUUGAGCUUGGUUUUGGAGCUUCUAGGAUUUCUUUUGAAGCUUUGGAAUGAUUUGCUUGGUGGGUAUGUGGCCACGGACAGCUUACGAAUGGUUUGACUUUGUGGAGGCAUUUACAAAAGGUAGAUUGGGAAGCGCUGUGAGUUUGUUUGAGGUUUGCAGGAGAUUUCCAAGCUUGGACUGAUUGUUAUCUGGUUGCUUUCAUUAAAUGCAUUUUGCUUCAUUGCUGCCCUGAAUCAUGAAUAAGAACAUUGAGCUACAGAAUUGUCUACUCUUUAACUUCAGCAAGUUAAUCUCAGUACAGUCAGAUGACUCUAACUACGUAACAUGGAAAUUUCUGAUAGAAACACUGUUAAAGGGUUGUGGUCUGAUGAGAUAUAUCGAUGGAUCGUUCCCUUGUCCUCCAGAACACAUGACUAUGGAAGAAAAUGGGGUAAAAUGAUUCUGCCAUUAUGUCUAUACUUGCAGCUACUAUGGCCAAUGAUACUCUCUCCAUCAUUGUUGGAAGUAAGUAACAUUGUAACACUCAACUAACUUCAAUACCUGGGUAUGUUUCUGCAUCAACUCAUGCUACUAGUGCUGUGCAUGCCUCUAAUACUAUGAUGUUUACAAGUAGUGUUGCAUCUUACUACUUUCUGUUUUCUUUAAAUUGAGGCAUCUUACUAUUCAUUUUGAAGUAUCACAUAAGUUAGUGGAUAUCACAUUUGGAUGUUGGCUCUGUCAUCGAAGCAUACAACAGUUCUUGCUAAUUGAUUGUUGGCUCCUGCCUGUGCUACAAGCGGACUGAAAUGGGGGGCAAUGGCUGCAAUAAGCUGUUCCUGGCUUGGUGAAGCAGAAGAGAAGUACAUCAUCAUGUUGGUCUGCUGCAAAUUCAGUUGCUGUGGAUGAAGAGCUGGUAUAGAGCUUCGGUUCUUCAGAUCUUCAUCUUUUCUUUUUUAUUCCCAUUCCUAAGAACUGAUGAAUGUUCAAAACUUCUAAUUGUUCUUGUUUCAUCUGUCAUGCCUUUUUCAAUUUUCACAGUUGGAAACUUGGAAUGUGAUUAUAAAUUGCAUUGGAAUUGUGUAUGAA
Molecule: long non-coding RNA, 2949 nt
Organism: Rosa chinensis
Lineage: Eukaryota; Viridiplantae; Streptophyta; Magnoliopsida; Rosales; Rosaceae
Exons: 2
Source: RefSeq, a predicted model, not a curated record